GUCCAGACUCCUACGGGAGGCAGCAGUGGGGAAUAUUGCACAAUGGGGGGAACCCUGAUGCAGCAACGCCGCGUGAGUGAAGAAGUAUUUCGGUAUGUAAAGCUCUAUCAGCAGGAAAGAAAAUGACGGUACCUGACUAAGAAGCCCCGGCUAACUACGUGCCAGCAGCCGCGGUAAUACGUAGGGGGCAAGCGUUAUCCGGAUUUACUGGGUGUAAAGGGAGCGUAGACGGCAGUGCAAGUCCGGAGUGAAAGCCCGGGGCUCAACCCUGGGACUGCUCUGGAAACUGUAAAGCUGGAGUGCGGGAGGGGCAGGCGGAAUUCCUGGUGUAGCGGUGAAAUGCGUAGAUAUCAGGAGGAACACCGGCGGCGAAGGCGGCCUGCUGGACCGUAACUGACGUUGAGGCUCGAAAGCGUGGGGAGCAAACAGGAUUAGAUACCCCGGUACC
Molecule: ribosomal RNA, 448 nt
Filed under: uncultured bacterium
Lineage: Bacteria
Description: bacterial SSU rRNA
Rfam family: Bacterial small subunit ribosomal RNA
Source: RNAcentral